CAGCAGCCGCGGUAAUACGAAGGUCCCGAGCGUUAUUCGGAAUCACUGGGCGUAAAGAGUACGUAGGCGGUUUGGUAAGUCAGGUGUGAAAUCCCGGAGCUCAACUCCGGAACUGCAUCCGAUACUGCCAGACUUGAGUAAUGGAGAGGCAGGUGGAAUUCUCGGUGUAGCAGUGAAAUGCGUGGAUAUCGAGAGGAAGACCAAUGGCGAAGGCAGCCUGCUGGACAUUUACUGACGCUGAGGUACGAAGGCCAGGGUAGCGAAAGGGAUUAGAUACCCCUGUAGUCCUGGCAGUAAACGGUGCGCGCUUGGUGUAGGAGGACUCGACCCCUUCUGUGCCGGAGCUAACGCGUUAAGCGCGCCGCCUGGGGAGUACGGUCGCAAGACUAAAACUCAAAGAGAUUGACGGGGACCCGCACAAGCGGUGGAGUAUGUGGCUUAAUUCGAUGCAACGCGAAGCACCUUACCUAGGCUUGACAUGUAUUGCUAAGCACGUGAAAGCGUGUGACCCUUCGGGGACCUUACACAGGUGCUGCAUGGCCGUCGUCAGCUCGUGUCGUGAGAUGUUGGGUUAAGUCCAGCAACGAGCGCAACCCCUGUGUAUAGUUGCCAGCACGUAAUGGUGGGGACUCUAUUCAGACUGCCCGGGUCAACCGGGAGGAAGGUGGGGAUGACGUCAGGUCAGUAUGGCCCUUACGCCUAGGGCUGCACACGUAAUACCAUGCCCAGUACAAUGAGAACCGAUCCCGCGAGGAGGAGGAAAUCUAAAAAACUGGGCCCAGUUCGGAUUGGAGGCUGCAACUCGCCUCCAUGAAGUUGGAAUCGCUAGUAAUGGCACAUCAGCUACGGUGCCGUGAAUACGUUCCCGGGUCUUGUACACACCGCCCGUCACAUCAUGGAAGCCGAUCGCACCCGAAGUAUAUGCGCUAACUAUUUAUAGUAGCAAGGUCCUAAGGUGUAGUUGGUAACUGGGAUGAAGUCGUAACAAGGUAACCGUA
Molecule: ribosomal RNA, 998 nt
Filed under: uncultured Verrucomicrobiota bacterium
Lineage: Bacteria; Pseudomonadati; Verrucomicrobiota
Description: bacterial SSU rRNA
Rfam family: Bacterial small subunit ribosomal RNA
Source: RNAcentral